This 419-nucleotide ribosomal RNA is filed under the name uncultured Prevotella sp. Its description in RNAcentral is "bacterial SSU rRNA". It matches the Rfam family "Bacterial small subunit ribosomal RNA", at positions 358 to 774 of the family's 1533-position model. Lineage: Bacteria; Pseudomonadati; Bacteroidota; Bacteroidia; Bacteroidales; Prevotellaceae. The record is from RNAcentral.
GGAAUAUUGGUCAAUGGGCGAGAGCCUGAACCAGCCAAGUAGCGUGCAGGAUGACGGCCCUAUGGGUUGUAAACUGCUUUUAUGCGGGGAUAAAGUGCACCACGUGUGGUGUUUUGUAGGUACCGCAUGAAUAAGGACCGGCUAAUUCCGUGCCAGCAGCCGCGGUAAUACGGAAGGUCCGGGCGUUAUCCGGAUUUAUUGGGUUUAAAGGGAGCGCAGGCGGAGGCUUAAGCGUGACGUGAAAUGUAGCCGCUCAACGGCUGAGUUGCGUCGCGAACUGGGUUUCUUGAGUGAGUUCGAUGUGGGCGGAAUUCGUGGUGUAGCGGUGAAAUGCUUAGAUAUCACGAAGAACUCCGAUUGCGAAGGCAGCCCACAAGGCCUUUACUGACGCUAAAGCUCGAAGGUGCGGGUAUCGAACA